This 532-nucleotide ribosomal RNA is filed under the name uncultured Lachnospiraceae bacterium. Its description in RNAcentral is "bacterial SSU rRNA". It matches the Rfam family "Bacterial small subunit ribosomal RNA", at positions 163 to 711 of the family's 1533-position model. Lineage: Bacteria; Bacillati; Bacillota; Clostridia; Lachnospirales; Lachnospiraceae. The record is from RNAcentral.
CUAAUACCGCAUAAGACCACAGCACCGCAUGGUGCAGGGGUAAAAACUCCGGUGGUACAAGAUGGACCCGCGUCUGAUUAGCUAGUUGGCGGGGUAACGGCCCACCAAGCCGACGAUCAGUAGCCGGCCUGAGAGGGUGACCGGCCACAUUGGGACUGAGACACGGCCCAGACUCCUACGGGAGGCAGCAGUGGGGAAUAUUGCACAAUGGGGGAAACCCUGAUGCAGCGACGCCGCGUGAACGAUGAAGUAUUUCGGUAUGUAAAGUUCUAUCAGCAGGGAAGAUAAUGACGGUACCUGACUAAGAAGCUCCGGCUAAAUACGUGCCAGCAGCCGCGGUAAUACGUAUGGAGCAAGCGUUAUCCGGAUUUACUGGGUGUAAAGGGAGCGUAGGCGGUCGUGCAAGUCUGAUGUGAAAGCCCGGGGCUCAACCCCGGGACUGCUAUUGGAAACUGUCCGGACUAGAUUUCCGGAGGGGUAAGUGGAAUUCCUAGUGUAGCGGUGAAAUGCGUAGAUAUUAGGAGGAACACCA